AACGAACGCUGGCGGCAUGCCUAACACAUGCAAGUCGAACGAGACCUUCGGGUCUAGUGGCGCACGGGUGCGUAACGCGUGGGAACCUGCCCUUAGGUUCGGAAUAACUCCCCGACAGGGGUGCUAAUACCGGAUAAUGUCUUCGGACCAAAGAUUUAUCGCCUUUGGAUGGGCCCGCGUUGGUUUAGCUAGUUGGUAGGGUAAAAGCCUACCAAGGCGACGAUCCAUAGCUGGUCUGAGAGGAUGAGCAGCCACACUGGGACUGAGACGCGGCCCAGACUCCUACGGGAGGGAGCAGUGGGGAAUAUUGGACAAUGGGCGAAAGCCUGAUCCAGCAAUGCCGCGUGAGUGAUGAAGGCCUUAGGGUUGUAAAGCUCUUUUACCCGGGAUGAUAAUGACAGUACCGGGAGAAUAAGCUCCGGCUAACUCCGUG
Molecule: ribosomal RNA, 433 nt
Filed under: uncultured bacterium
Lineage: Bacteria
Description: partial 16S ribosomal RNA
Rfam family: Bacterial small subunit ribosomal RNA
Source: RNAcentral